GAGCGAGAAAAGGGGGGCAACUCCCUGAGUAAAGCGGCGCACGGGUGAGUAACACGUGGGUAAUCUGCCCUGGAGUGGGGAAUAACACCGGGAAACCGGUGCUAAUACCGCAUACGAUCACGGAGUCUGCGGAUUUUGUGAUGAAAGGAGCAAUUCGCUUUAGGAGGAGCCCGCGGCUGAUUAGCUAGUUGGUGAGGUAAUGGCUCACCAAGGCUACGAUCAGUAUCCGGUCUGAGAGGACGGUCGGACACACUGGAACUGAAACACGGUCCAGACUCCUACGGGAGGCAGCAGUGGGGAAUUUUGCGCAAUGGGGGAAACCCUGACGCAGCAACGCCGCGUGGAGGAUGAAGCCCUUUGGGGCGUAAACUCCUUUCGACCAAGACGAUAAUGACGGUACUGGUGGAAGAAGCACCGGCUAACUCUGUG
This 429-nucleotide ribosomal RNA is filed under the name uncultured bacterium. Its description in RNAcentral is "bacterial SSU rRNA". It matches the Rfam family "Bacterial small subunit ribosomal RNA", at positions 64 to 507 of the family's 1533-position model. The record is from RNAcentral.